UACGGGGGGGGCAAGCGUUGUUCGGAAUUACUGGGCGUAAAGGGCCAGUAGGCGGCCAACUAAGUCGGAUGUGAAAUCCCCAGGCUUAACCUGGGAACUGCAUCCGAUACUGGAUGGCUUGAAUUCGGGAGAGGGAUGCAGAAUUCCAGGUGUAGCGGUGAAAUGCGUAGAUAUCGGAAGGAACACCAGUGGCGAAAGCGGCUUCCUGGUCCAGCACCGACGUUCAGGCACGAAAGCGUGGGGAGCAAACAGG
This 253-nucleotide ribosomal RNA is filed under the name uncultured bacterium. Its description in RNAcentral is "partial 16S ribosomal RNA". It matches the Rfam family "Bacterial small subunit ribosomal RNA", at positions 524 to 776 of the family's 1533-position model. The record is from RNAcentral.